Panthera uncia (snow leopard) is the source of this 3518-nucleotide long non-coding RNA. RefSeq lists it as uncharacterized. The transcript has 2 exons. Lineage: Eukaryota; Metazoa; Chordata; Mammalia; Carnivora; Felidae. The record is from RefSeq and is a predicted model, not a curated record.
ACCUUUGAAAUCUCUUCCUAAGUAGGCCCGAGUCAGUGAAAGGCUUCUGGAGGGCGGGACAGAAUAGGGGUAUUAGGCGGAGGAUGGGGUUACUUACCAGUUGACACUCUGGCAAGACCCAUCCCCUAGUUUCCCACCACCAGUCUUGCUUCUACCCUCAAGUGAGGACUGUACUAUGAAUCUUUUGUUAGGAAGCUGCUGCUUGAGAGGCUCUGCCUCUAUGCGACUGGGACGAGACCUACUCUACAAGAAAAAUCUCCUGGUUAUUAAGAGCCCGCCAGGAGAGGAGGACUAGAUCUCUCCAGUGAAAGCUGGGACCAGGAGAGGUGGACAGUUUUCCCUCCCCCAAAAGCCCUCAAGAGUCCUCAUCCAAAGGAAGAGUCUGCUGCCCGGGAGGCUGAUUUCCACCUUCAGUUCUACCCACUCCUGCUUCGCCUGCUCCACCUUUCCCUAAAGAACUAUCGCCUCAUACACAGAGGUCAGCGAAUCCAUUUUGGGGUAGUGUAAAACAAGCACGCACGGCCCAAAAAAGGAGGGGCUGUAGCCCUUUAAGGACUUCGCCAGGAUGGAUUCGGAGAGGAGUUUAAAAAUGCCAACUCACAGAGCGCGCUGGAUUCUGGGAACGAGGUGCCAGACCGAGAACUACAUUGACCAGUGUGCAACGCAAACACACACGCCUUUACUUCCUUUUGCUCUUUAGGACUCUGGUUUGACGUAGCGCUCCUCAAAGCAAGCUGCCUUAGGCUUAUGGCUCAGCCACACCCUUUCACCUAUUGGUGAGCUCGUGAGUUGGUGGGCGUGGCCUAGCGCAGCUCACCCAGGCAAAGGGGUGGCCUCCUUGCCAAUCAGAGCUAAGACGGCCGGAGAGGCGGGACCUGGGCGAAGUGCUGGCGCCCCAGAGUGGGUGUGGUCACGCUGCCCAGCAGUGGGCGGUGAUUGGCCCUGGGCGGUGCAAUCGCAGCUUGUGCGUCACGACGCCGCCAGCUGAUCGGAGCCUGGAGCCGGUGUGUGCUGGGCGCAGGGAAGACACAGCGCCGCCGGCCGUGGGGGACGGACGCACUGAUUUGCUCCCCUACCCUCAGCAGCCCCCCCACCCAGCACCAGGAGCCUGUCCCUCCCACAUCCUCAACUGGCUGAGCCGCAGUAGUUCUUCAGUGGCAAGCUUUAUGUCCUGACCCAGCUAAAGCUGCCAGUUGAAGAACUGUUGCCCUCUGCCCCUGGCUUCAAGGAGGAGGAGGAAGAGGAGAAGGAGCUGCUUUCCCCCUCAUCUGGAAGGUGAUGGAACUGGGGCUGGGAAGGUCAGAACAGCGGGAGUGGUGAUGCCUUUUGGAAAAGGGAACCUUGUUCAGUUGGAGACCCUUCAGCCAGAUUGGCCCAGCAAGAGAGAACAGUUGUAGAUUAGAGACCCUCGUUGGGUUGGGGACUAGAUGGCUGUGACUACCCAAGGUUAGUUGGUCUACAUGAGUGUGCGACAAAGGGAAGACAAUGGGAGCAAAGAAAACUGGCAACACCUGUACUCAGAUGUCUUUCUUGACCCUCCUUCCUGUCUCCCUUUCUUUCCUACUGCCUUUCCAGGUGAGGUCCAAAGUAAAUUUCAUCUUCAGGGAAGAGCUCAUACUGAAACUCCCGUCUGAGUAGUCAACCCCAUGCUCUUAGCUUUCCCUGUAUUUCCUCAGACUGGCCUGGACUCCAGUUACAGGGAUAAAUCACCUAUAUGUGGGACCCUUGGGCCUCUUGUCUCAGCUUCAACACCUGUGAGAUGCAGAAUCAUACAGUUGAAUGUGCAGGAGGGAAUCAGAAGCCUACUGUGCAGACUCAGAGCCCGGGCUCUCCUCUCCCUGUGGGUGGGAACAAAACAGCUUUUCAUAUAAGCUGUUGCCCCUCCCCCCAUCCCUAACCAACACAACCCCAGGAGCUGGGGGUGGGGGGAAGAUUAGAGGGAGGGGGCUAGAGUUAGACCAGGGCUAGGGGCUGGAGGAGCUCAGUCUCUACAUUGACUUCCCACCAUGCAAAGGUGGCCCCAGGUUUCCUCUGCCACCCAAAACAGAACUGCAGCCCCUGAUGGGGUUCCAACUGCUGUUCCUCUGUUUCUUCUCUCACUUUACCUUCCAGGAUAAUUUGUGAGACUCAGCUCAGGCUUACGAGGCAGGAAAUUCUCUCCAGCAACCAGGCGAGAUGGGUUGUGGGAUGUGACCCCCUCUGGGGAAUCAAGCUGUGUAAACCUAACACCCCUGGCUCCUGAUGCCAUGUAACUCUUGGGGCUCAGGCUCUGGUGUGGUUCAACCGUGGCCCAGCCUCCCUGCCUGAAGGUGGCCAAAUUCAGGGGCUGCAGAAAGCUGUCCCGCUGUGGGGCACAAGAUGUACAGGUAGCUGGGUCCUUUUCUCCAUUUAUGAGAGAGAUUUAGGGGAGAGUAGAUCAUUGAACCCACCCUUCUGCAGCCUAGGCUGGAUGUGUGUGGGACUGCGGCGGAGGGGGUGGGUAGACUGGGUCCACUCAUAGGCUGCAACAAAGAUUGUUCUGUCCCUGGACAUUGCUUCCGUCCUUUCUUCCCCUCUCCGCUUCACUGGCCACAGUGUCUCCCUCCAGCCCUGGGUCUGUGGCUCUGCCAUCCUCACCCGUCAUGGAGCAGAGAUGAGGAAGAGCAGCCUGGGAACACAGAGGCAGGCAGAAGACCAGUGAAGGACCAGGCCCGGAGAGCACAGGGUCCUGUCUGGGCACCCCGCAGAGGGGACCCAUAAAGGCCAGGAGCACCCCAGGAGGAGGGAGGACGGCCAGCCUCCAUCAAGAACAAGCUCCCGGCCACUGGCUUCAUUCACUAUUUCUCUCCAGUGUCACUACCUCCCUGAGAUAUGAGACUGUGUUAAAAUGUCCUGUCACUUCAUCCUCUUACUUCUACUCCCUACCCUAUAGAGUGAUAUAAAGCAGCCUCAAGGAGCAAGAACCAGCUGUGAAAGGACAUAUGUAGGGAAUUCAUAGAAGAAAUUCAAAUGGAUAAAACCAUGAAAAACAAUGUGUGCUUCAUUAGUAAUUAAAGAAAGACAAGCAUAGCUGAAAGCAUUUUUCCCUCGGCAAACUAUAUUUUAAAAAAUAAAAAAAGGAAGACCCAGUAUCGGCAAAGGAGCACUAAAAUAACACUCCCAUACCUUGCAUAUGGGGGUGCAAAUUGGUAUAGCCUUCCUGGAUGUCAGUUUGGUAGUAUGUGUCAAACAUUCUAAAAGUGUCCAUCGCCUUUGACCUAGUGAUUCUACACUUGGGAAUUUAUCCUAAGAAAACCAUUAAAGAUUCAGUUACAAGAUGCUCACCCCAGCAUUGCAAUAGAAAAAAUGAGAAGCAGUUGUCUGAUUGGGAAUUCACUUCUUCUUUGCUGUAAUGAAAAUUUGCAAUGGGGGAUUGCUUAAGUAAAUCAUUGUAUAUCCAUCCAGAUGGUGGAGUACUGCACAGCCAUUAGAAGUCAUGUAGAAGAACAUUUGACUGGAAAGAAAAAUGCUCUUUGAAUAUUAAAAAGGUUAUGAAAAUA